RNAcentral lists this ribosomal RNA (292 nucleotides) under uncultured bacterium. RNAcentral's name for it is "partial 16S ribosomal RNA". It matches the Rfam family "Bacterial small subunit ribosomal RNA", at positions 505 to 796 of the family's 1533-position model. The record is from RNAcentral.
GUGUCAGCAGCCGCGGUAAUACGGAGGGGGCUAGCGUUGUUCGGAAUUACUGGGCGUAAAGCGCACGUAGGCGGUGGCGCAUGUCAGAUGUGAAAGCCCUGGGCUUAACCUAGGAAUUGCAUUUGAAACUGCGUCGCUAGAGGCCGGAAGAGGGUAGUGGAAUUCCCAGUGUAGAGGUGAAAUUCGUAGAUAUUGGGAAGAACACCGGUGGCGAAGGCGGCUACCUGGUCCGGUUCUGACGCUGAGGUGCGAAAGCGUGGGGAGCAAACAGGAUUAGAUACCCCAGUAGUCC